AUCUAUUCAACUAACCAAAAUGCCCCCUCGGCUGCCACCCUCUCAAACAUUUCGGUUCUCUCACUCCACUCUCUCCUCUCUCUCCCUCUCCCUCUCCAUCAACGUCCUCCAUCUACAACUGCAAACCUGUCACCACUAUAGCCGCAAACCUCACCAGAGAAGCCCCGCCACCAUCAAGACGUCGCAAGAGAAGUUCGUUUCCAUUGCAGAUUUGGAUUCUAAAGGUCCGGCUUUGCCAUUUUCGUCAUCGAGAAUCACAUUUCUUUGUCGGAUCCAUGGAUUUUUUGUCUUAACUCACUGAAAUCUUCAUUUCUUCCUUAGUUUUUAUUUGUUCAGAUUCGAAGUUUGGUAGAGGGUGACAGAAUAGAAUGAGGAAAAGGAUAAAGGACAAAGCAUCACCUUGAUAAGAGAGCGGUUAUGGAGGGAAGAGCUACUCCUUCAGCGAGUCCAAAGAAAGCUCGAGCCAUCAAUAAGGCGAAUGUGUCAUCCUCUAUUUUCUUUCAUGUUUUGUUUAAUUGCUGCUCAAAAUUGUUAGAAAGCAUGCAAGUUUAGAUUCCUGAAAUGGAAUGAAAAAUUUGUUCUUAAGCUUUCUAGACUAUGUCAACUAAUCAAAAUAAAACUUAUUCUCUUGGGUUCAGUGUUUUGGUCCAGAAAACAUUUGAUAGUUGGUUUUGACAACAUGUUGCUAUUUCAAUUAGUUCCUUCUUUAUUAUUGCCAAGUGAUAUGGCAAAAAUUCUGUCAUAUGAAUUGGAUGAUUUGGACAUGCUUGUAAUUUGUAAAUAUGUACAUGCUUUGCCUUAUCUGGAUCCCCA
Molecule: long non-coding RNA, 813 nt
Organism: Prosopis cineraria
Lineage: Eukaryota; Viridiplantae; Streptophyta; Magnoliopsida; Fabales; Fabaceae
Exons: 2
Source: RefSeq, a predicted model, not a curated record